UACAGAGGGUGCAAGCGUUAAUCGGAAUUACUGGGCGUAAAGCGUGCGUAGGUGGUUCUUUAAGUCAGGUGUGAAAUCCCUGGGCUCAACCUGGGAACUGCAUUUGAUACUGAAGAGCUAGAGUGUGGUAGAGGAUAGUGGAAUUCCCGGUGUAGCGGUGAAAUGCGUAGAUAUCGGGAGGAACAUCAGUGGCGAAGGCGGCUAUCUGGACCAACACUGACACUGAGGUACGAAAGCGUGGGUAGCAAACAGG
Molecule: ribosomal RNA, 253 nt
Filed under: uncultured bacterium
Lineage: Bacteria
Description: partial 16S ribosomal RNA
Rfam family: Bacterial small subunit ribosomal RNA
Source: RNAcentral